RNAcentral lists this long non-coding RNA (6710 nucleotides) under Homo sapiens (human). RNAcentral's name for it is "PREDICTED lncRNA (TCONS_00169994)". The record is from RNAcentral. Lineage: Eukaryota; Metazoa; Chordata; Mammalia; Primates; Hominidae.
CACUAAGGCGCAAGGCAGCUGCACAUCCACGGCCAGCCUCGUUGUCUUCAGGGAUUUGUUCAAAGUUCAUUCUGAAUUGUAAGGUAACCACUGCAGAACACGAGCCUUUCCUGGGUAUGUGUGGUUAUUUCUGCCCUUCACGGUCCCACUCAAGUCCUGCCUCCCUCAGGGAGACCUCCCAGACCUCACCAAGCCGUGGGCACGUGGACCAGAAGCCGUGGACCCCAGAGGCUCAUUUAGGGAUCUGCUUUCUGAACCCAGGUCCUAACAUCUGCACUGCAGCGAGCAUUUCUGGUGCCUCAAGUGAGUCACUCCAACUUCCAGGUCAGUGCCCGGCACACGAGGGGUGCUUUUAUUAGAGGUAUUAGGUGAGGCCUCCCUGCAGGCAGUCCACACCCUCAGCUCCCAGAUUUCCACCAGGGUCACCCAGUGGGAAAGGGCAGCUGCCUCUGCAUCCCCAUGAGCCCAGCUCGCCCUCUCUAAGGGACAGGGACCACCAGCCUCACAGUGGUGGGUGGCAACACCUGGUCAUUUUCUGUCAUUCUCCUGUCAUGAUCAGCUCACUGAGAGGCGAUGGAGCACUGAGUGCCAGCAUCUUCCAGCACCAGAGGAGCUGACUCUGAAUAGACAGCUCGGCAGCGGCCUCAGCACAGAGCAGGGGUAAGGGUGGGGCCCACCUGCACUUCCUGGCCGCCUGUUCCCUAAGUGCAUAUUGAUUGAAUAGCGCUGCCUCAGAACUAGGCUGCCUGAGUUUGAAUUAGGCGCUGGUGUUAAUUAGCUGUGUGAUCUUGGGUAAGUGACUCAAUAUAUCUGUGCAAGGGGGAUAACCAUAUGGUCUUCCUUAUGGGGUUCUCAUGAUGAUUAGUUCAUAAUAUAAAGUUACCCCCCCACCCCAUGCAGAGAUGAGGCGGAGGGGCUGCCACCAACCAGGAUGACGGAGGAAAGGGGGAGAUGCUGAGCAGGCUGAGGGUUUCGUGGCUGUCCCUGCUGCUGGCUUCACAGUCUUCUUCCCGCUGUGCCACUGCCCAUGCCAAAACCACAUUCACCAUCUAUCCAUGCAGCAGGGUGACCUGCAGUGCAUGGAACCCCUGGACCCCUCGGCCUCCCAGGGCCAGCCUGCCCCAUCCCUCAGCCCGGUCACUGUUCCCAGGCUUUAGGCCCUGUAACUCUGGCCUGUCCAGCUCAUUUCCAGCCUACAGACCUCUCUUGGGUCCCCAAACCCUUACUUAGGCCCCAGCCAAGGCAGAGCCUGGCUGUCUUGGACCCUGCCUCUCCCUGCCCAGUGUCCAAUAAUCCACAGCACUCCCUUCCACAGCCAUGGGCCCACCCUUGACAAGGGCUAUGUGCCCUGGAACCCGUGCCUCUCACCUUCACGCCAAACUCCUCCUUUUCCUAGACCCCUGAUUCCCAGCGGGCCGAGGUCAAGCUGCCUUGCCUAGUUUCUGUCUCCUGUGGCCCCUCGAUGCCAGCUCCUCCCUGGCCAAUCCCCAUUACCAAAGUCCCCCAUUCUAACUUCCAGUGCCCAGGCCCCAGUCCAGGCAUCUCCGGGUCCAUGUACUAACUGCCAUGCCCAUGUGACCCGAGUACCAACCUCUGCCCACUCCACCUGGAGUUAAACCUCCUGGCUGUGCUUCGGCCAGGCCAAGGGCCCUGAUGUGCUGUCCCCAGCCCUUAGUGGCCCACAGCCCCUGGGUUUCCCUGCGUUUUGUGCCCCCUGCUCACAUCCUGCUCCGUGAGGCCUGCUGGCUCUGAUCUCCAGCCCAGGCCUGGCCCCGCAUCAGGGCCCCUUUUCUUCCCAGGCUCAUGGCUCCCACUGGUCCCAACUCAGGAGUGAGAUUCCUCAGAAUCCUGUGGCCCAGACUCCUUUCUUCUCCCACUCAGGCAGCCCCCUCAGUCCUGACUCCUUGGGGUCCCCUUGGUCCCCACCUCUUCGCUUCCUUUGAUGCCUCCUUGCCUCUCAGCUUAACCUCUUUACUUUGCUGCCCUCCAGGAAUUCUUGAUUGUCCCUGACCCCAGCUCAGUCCCCUCCCCGAACCCCACCAAGGCAACCCCCCAGCACUCCUGCCUGCCCUCCCGCAUCAGCCCUGAUCCUAGUGCCCAAAUCACUCUAAGUCCCCUUGCCUUCUGCUAUAGCUGUAUCUGGUGUUCUAGAAUCUUCUGGUCUCUAGUUUUUCUUCCCUCCAGCCUGGCCCCUCAGGUCCCUGCAAGGCAGGACCUGAGCUCCCUAGGCAGGGGUCCCCUCUGCAUGUACUCCUGCCCCCUCAUUUCUGAGCCCAGGCCCUCAGGCAGGCCCCUCCUGUUGGAACAUCUCAGGUUCAGCCUGUGACCCUGGACCCCCAGCGUCUGCCAGGCCCACGGGAGCUCCAAGCUCUGGAGACAGAUCCAGACUUCCCCCAGGUCCCCUUUCACCCCAAAGCCACAUUGUUUCCAUUUAGAGCAGUGGCUGUCAACAGGGUGACACUGGGUGACAUCUGAUAGGUUUUGGUUGUUGCUCAACACCCUACAGUGCCCAGGACAGUCCCUAUCACAGGCAGUGGUUGGCCACAAAUGCCCACAGUGGCGAGGUGGGGAGACCCUGGGUUUGAGUGACAGCCUAAACCCAAGGCCCCAGGCUCCCGGGGGUGGGGGCGGAAGGCCAGGAACCCCUCAUGUCCUGAGUAAAGUUUACAUGUGGUUAGGCUUUGCCAGUGCCGUCCAGUAGUACUUUUUGUGAUGAUGGACGAGUUCUGUAUCUUCAUUGUCCCGUACAGGAGCCACCAGCCACAGGCAGCCACUGAGCCCUUGGCAUGUAACCCGGUAACCCAUGCAACAGAAGACCUGAGCGUCCAGUGUUGCUAGCUUGAAGUAACUUCAGUGGUGUUCCCCAGCGUUUUUCUCAUCCCCCUCCCUUCCCUUCCCCUACAGCUUUCUUCCUCUUUCCCCUCCUUCUGAGUCUUUCGUCCCCAGUCCUGGGAACCUUUUUUCUGACUUGGUGUUUUCUCCUGAAUGCCUCCUUCCUGGCCCCCUAAUCAGAAAUGCAGAAGCCACCUGCCCCACACAGGGGGCCACUUUCCCUGCAUCUGGCACUCACCAGGACAGUCAUAGAACUGGCCUUGGGUGCUUGGGGAGAGUGGAGAGGUCUGGGGGGCAUCCACUGGCCUCAGCCUCAGAGCUUCUCAUCAGUAACCCAGGAGGCAAAGGCCCAGCUCAAGAUUAGCCCAGGCCACUGUAUCUGUGCCAAGACCUACAGCUGUCCCUGCAGGGCGUGCAUCUCUGCAGCCCAGGCUAUCACAAUGGUGUCCCUUUUGGUGGGGAUGUGAGGCCUGCUGCUGCCUGGGAAGAAGCUGACAGGAUUGUUGGUGCUGUGGGGAGAAGCUGGUGUAACUGAGACCCAUGAGGGAGGCCCUUUGUGGGUCUGUGGCUGGGAGGAGCUCUGGGGAAGAUGGGCCUUGAGAAAUCCCAGCUUAGCACCUUUGACAGUUGCUCCACUGAGUCACCCUAGACUGCAAUCUCACAGAUGUUCUAACCACCCUCUCCCUGGGGAGCCCUUGGGGGUGCUGCAAGCCCAGUCCUCACUCACUGGCUUUGUGCUUCUCUUCCCGACUUCCUUUUUUUGCUCCUGUUGAGAAAUGUGGGUCCAGGGCUGCGUGCUCCAGUGUGCGGAAGGAAGGGCAGCGUGCUCUUUGGACUGAGCUGGCUCAAGGGAAGCUGGGUCUGAGGGGAGACUGACCUCGACCCUUCUUAAAUGAAACACCUUUUCCCUGCGUCUCAGUCACCGUUACCUGGCCUGAUCACUGUGUGCCACACCCCAUCACAUCCAUCCCCACAAGAAUGCCAGGAGGAGGGGUCAUUGGCCUUUUUGUCAGCACAAACCUCUGGAGGCCCAGCUCCCAAGACCCGCCAGGCACACCUGCCAGAGUGCCUUAACUUGGGAUGUCUGCAAACCUCUGUCCAUGGCCGAACCCACCCCACUGCCUGUUACUGUAAAUAAAGGUCUAUUAGCAUGCCACCAUGCCCCUCCUCCGAUGCAUACAGUGCCCAGCUCAGCACCUGGUGCAAGUAAGCACAAUCUGGCUUCCAGCCAUCACUGCUGUUGCUACUAACACAAAUAUUAGGCCCCUUCUAGAAUGCAAAGAUAACCCAGGGCUGCUCGUUCUGUGUCCAGAUCACAGAGUUUUUCUUUUUAUCCUUAUCAACUUUAUUGAGGGAUAAUUUACAGGCAAUAAAUCAUAUCCAUUUAAAGUUAUUGUCAAGCUUUUAAAGAAUUAAAGUUCGUCUUCUUCAGAAGCUUACCGAGGACUACAGGCUGUGGCGUAGAGCCCUGGAGCAGCCUCCACUGAGGUUCUGUAUUUCAGGUCACAGUUGACAUAUAGGUGGGAGGUCCAGUACGUGCAAAGUCACAUGAAAGCUUGGGUGUCAGAGUGCAUCAGGUUAUGGAUUCAAUUACAGAGCAAUAAUCACUGACCCUGUCAGAUGUUAUCUUACGUGUAGGAAAAGGUAAGACCAGGGCCAUUUAUCUGCAAAGAAUAUAGUGACUCAGGCAAGAGUCCGGAGAGGGUGUGUGCUCCAUCCUGUUUUGUCUUCAGAGCAUCUUUCUGGGGAGCUGCACAUCGUUAUAGAGACAGGCACUUUGUGAAAUUCUGCUGCCAAGCACAAAUGAGCAAACGUGGUUUCCUAUGUUUACUACUUUGUCUCACAAAGCGCACAUUCACAGUGCAUUAUUAAGGGGCCCUGGCAGCACCGCCACAGUGUAUCUCUGCUCCCUCUUAAAGUUCCCCGUGCCCCUUGGCAGACAGGCCCCUCUCACUCCUGGGCCCAGGCUACCAUUGACCAGCUUUUUGCCACUAGAGGUUAAUUUUCAUUCUAUGUGAUUGGAAUCAUACAGAUGUUCUUGUAUCUGACUUAUUUCACUCCACAUAGUGAUUCUGAGAUUCAAAUGUUGUGUGUAUCAGUUGUUUGUUCCUUUUUAUUCCUGAAUGGGAGAGGGGAUGUCAAGCUGCACAGUUUUAUUCCUGGGCUACAGUGGAGAUGGAUGGUUCUACCGUCUCUCUGAAACACCAUCUGCAGUUUCUUCAAAAUCUACCUACACAUCUUCCAUCCCAUCCUGAGGAGUCCCCGAGGGUUGAGAAAUGCAUGACCCCACACCUGGCUGACGUGUACAACUGGCGGAGUUAGUUUUUCCUGUUGACACUGGCCACGGGCGCCUCAGCAUGCACAGCCCUGGCCUUGCUCCUCUAGGCAUGCUGGGGGCUUGUCCACACGUGUGGUCUACGGAUGGAGGAGAGUGGCCUCUGGCCCAUGCGUGCCAUGCACUGGACCUUCCCAGGGAAUCAAGUUACAUGAUGUUUCCUUGAGGAGCUACAUACAAAGUAAAAAACUGAAAUCAAGAAUAUCAGUCAUUUCUGAAUAUGCCAAUUCGCCCAUGGUGCAGUUUGUACAGCUUAAUCACUGCAGAACAGUUUUGAGGAUAAAAUUAACCAAAAACCUAAGUAGACAAAAUAUUCAAAUUUUUGGAAUCUGUCACAAAAAUCCACAGAUGACUUAUUUUCCAUUGUAGCUUAUAAUGUCCAAAAGCCUUUCUAGUGACUUAUAACUGAUGGUGAGCUCCCACUCUGUGGCAGCUGUGGGACACUGGUCUAAGGACUACACCCUGAUGCCUGGUGAGUUACAGAGGCCAUGAGAAGAUGUCAGUGAACCUGAAAGCCAGGGAGAGGCUGUGUUCCUGCCGGACUGUGGGGCUCCUUCGCUCCCCUGCUGUGGCCCUUGGUCAGGCCACUUUCCCUCUCUGGGUGUCAGUGGCUUCAUCUACGAAGUGAUAAAAAACUAAUGCAAACCAGAGCAAAAUGAGAUAACACGGGGACCCCUAAUGUCCCAGGGAGAUGGUGAACUGAAGCACCGCGUGCGGUGAGUUGUUGCUGUCUCCACCCCUCAAGGAGACCGCAGCUUUGCAGACGUGUGGGUCCCAUCAUCGGCCCCAUUCUACAUUCCUCCCUGUGUCCCUGCCAUCGCCAGGUGACUUUGCUGGGCCCUCCCACCGCCCUAACUCCCAAUCCCAAGAUCUUCAGUGAACGUGACGCGCACAGCAGAGGCCCAGAAUGUAUGUGUGCAUGUGGUGACAGCUAAGCCUGCCUGGAGCAGAGCCCCAACCCUGCAGCAGCUCAAACAAGCUGAGAUCAGCAAAUGCACAUCUGACUCUCAGACAUGGGGGCAAUAAUAAUAAAUGCUGUUUGAGUUUUGGGGUCUUUGGCUACACAGCAAUUGCUCACCAAUAUGACAGGGUUGUAUGACGUGGCCAUGCGGAACUGUAUUAUAGGGGAAGUGGUGAACAGUGUGAUGAGAUUUUAAAGAGGAACAGAUUUACCACUGACUUUAGAAAUCAUGGAGGAGAAAUCUCUGGGGUUGCCCUUGAAGGGUGUGUGGAGGAGGACAUGGGAGAAGGGGGAAGAACCGUGGCAUCCUGGCUAAACAGACACAGGGCAGAGGGAGCCUCUGUGUUGGGACUAAGAUGGGGAUGUCGGGGAAGGGACAUGGCAAGCUGACUGUUGGUGGGGAAGGCACGUGUGGGGCUAUAUUGUGAUCAUUGUGAUGUAUAUACAUUGUCACCUCCUACUGUCUCUGAGUCCGGCUGUCCCAAGCCCCCGCCGUGGAAUCCAGCAGUGUUCGGGCCAACUCUCAGAACCUUGGCUUUGUCUGGGGGACCCCUCCCAGACCACUUCACCUGCAAGCCCUCC